CCUACGGGCGGCAGCAGUGAGGAAUAUUGGUCAAUGGACGAGAGUCUGAACCAGCCAAGUAGCGUGAAGGAUGACUGCCCUAUGGGUUGUAAACUUCUUUUAUAUGGGAAUAAAACGUUCCACGUGUGGGAUUUUGUAUGUACCAUAUGAAUAAGGAUCGGCUAAAUCCGUGCCAGCAGCCGCGGUAAUACGGAGGAUCCGAGCGUUAUCCGGAUUUAUUGGGUUUAAAGGGAGCGUAGGUGGAUUGUUAAGUCAGUUGUGAAAGUUUGCGGCUCAACCGUAAAAUUGCAGUUGAAACUGGCAGUCUUGAGUACAGUAGAGGUGGGCGGAAUUCGUGGUGUAGCGGUGAAAUGCUUAGAUAUCACGAAGAACUCCGAUUGCGAAGGCAGUUCACUGGACUGCAACUGACACUGAGGCUCGAAAGUGUGGGUAUCAAACAGGAUUAGAUACCCCUGUAGUC
RNAcentral lists this ribosomal RNA (460 nucleotides) under uncultured bacterium. Its description in RNAcentral is "partial 16S ribosomal RNA". It matches the Rfam family "Bacterial small subunit ribosomal RNA", at positions 338 to 795 of the family's 1533-position model. The record is from RNAcentral.